This is a non-coding RNA of Nothobranchius furzeri (turquoise killifish), 437 nucleotides long. The record is from RefSeq and is a predicted model, not a curated record. NCBI's taxonomy places the organism in Eukaryota, Metazoa, Chordata, Actinopteri, Cyprinodontiformes, Nothobranchiidae.
GCCUCAGAGUCUUACCCCACCCACGUAUCAAUUUUAAAAACUGCAACAUUGGUAGGCGUUGCCUGGAGGACCGAGAGGGCGGAGCCGCGGCAGUGACGAAGACGACGGCUAACUAGACGAAGCUAGCUCCCUUCACUCUGAGCAGUUAUUAGAAGUGGAGGACGUUUCUCCCCCUCCUUACCCAGACACUCGAGAAGAAAGGGACCAAGUCUAAUUGGAGGAGACAAGCGGACAUGAGCCUUAUUGUUUUGAGCUUGUGAGUUGCCUGAAAUUACCGGAACCGACCCAACAGAACCAUCUCUGAAUGUGAUCAUCUGGUGUCUGCAGCUGGUCUCCUGCUGGUGUCGUCAGGAUCAGGAGCUUCCAGAAGAAUGUGCCUUUCAAUGACUCUUUCCCCCUUAUUUGUUAUAUUAAUUAAAUAAAUCUCAAUUUAUAUA